AUUGAACGCUGGCGGCAUGCCUUACACAUGCAAGUCGAACGGUAACAGGUCUUCGGAUGCUGACGAGUGGCGAACGGGGGAGUAAUACAUCGGAACGUGCCCGAUCGUGGGGGAUAACGGAGCGAAAGCUUUGCUAAUACCGCAUACGAUCUACGGAUGAAAGCAGGGGACCGCAAGGCCUUGCGCGGACGGAGCGGCCGAUGGCGGAUUAGGUAGUUGGUGGGAUAAAAGCUUACCAAGCCGACGAUCUGUAGCUGGUCUGAGAGGACGACCAGCCACACUGGGACUGAGACACGGCCCAGACUCCUACGGGAGGCAGCAGUGGGGAAUUUUGGACAAUGGGCGAAAGCCUGAUCCAGCCAUGCCGCGUGCAGGAUGAAGGCCUUCGGGUUGUAAACUGCUUUUGUACGGAACGAAAAGACUCUUUCUAAUAAAGAGGGUCCAUGACGGUACCGUAAGAAUAAGCACCGGCUAACUACGUG
This 482-nucleotide ribosomal RNA is filed under the name uncultured bacterium. Its description in RNAcentral is "partial 16S ribosomal RNA". It matches the Rfam family "Bacterial small subunit ribosomal RNA", at positions 30 to 507 of the family's 1533-position model. The record is from RNAcentral.